RNAcentral lists this unclassified non-coding RNA (403 nucleotides) under soil metagenome. RNAcentral's name for it is "partial contains 5.8S ribosomal RNA, internal transcribed spacer 2, and large subunit ribosomal RNA". The stretch from base 1 to 120 matches the Rfam family "5.8S ribosomal RNA", at positions 35 to 154 of the family's 154-position model. The record is from RNAcentral.
GAUGAAGAACGUAGCGAAAUGCGAUAAGUAAUGUGAAUUGCAGAAUUCAGUGAAUCAUCGAAUCUUUGAACGCACCUUGCGCCCUUUGGCAUUCCGAAGGGCAUGCCUGUUUGAGUAUCAUGAACACCUCAACUCUUCAUGGUUUUCCAUGAUGAGCUUGGACUUUGGGGGUCUUGCUGGCCUGCGGUCGGCUCCUCUCAAAUGAAUCAGCUUACCAGUGUUUGGUGGGCAUCACAGGUGUGAUAACUAUCUGCGCUUGUGGUUUUCCACCAAGUAACCUUCAGCAGUGGAGGUUCACUGGAGCUCACAGACGUCUCUCCUCAGUGAGGACAGCCCUUUGAAUGUUUGAUCUCAAAUCAGGUAGGACUACCCGCUGAACUUAAGAAUAUCAAUAAGCGGAGGA